CAUGUAGGCGGUUACAUAAGUCUGAUGUGAAAUACUACAGCUUAACUGUGGGAACGCAUUGGAAACUGUGUGACUUGAAUCUGUGAGGGGUAACUGGAAUUCCUAGUGUAGGGGUGAAAUCUGUUGAUAUUAGGAAGAACACCGAUGGCGAAGGCAAGUUACUGGCACAUGAUUGACGCUGAGAUGCGAAAGCGUAGGGAGCGAACA
This 207-nucleotide ribosomal RNA is filed under the name uncultured bacterium. RNAcentral's name for it is "partial 16S ribosomal RNA". It matches the Rfam family "Bacterial small subunit ribosomal RNA", at positions 568 to 774 of the family's 1533-position model. The record is from RNAcentral.